AAUAUUGGACAAUGGGCGAAAGCCUGAUCCAGCCAUGCCGCGUGAGUGAUGAAGGCCCUAGGGUUGUAAAGCUCUUUCGCAAGGGAAGAAAACUUACCUUCUAAUAAAGGGUGAGGCUGACGGUACCUUGAUAAGAAGCACCGGCUAACUACGUGCCAGCAGCCGCGGUAAUACGUAGGGUGCGAGCGUUAAUCGGAAUUACUGGGCGUAAAGCGUGCGCAGGCGGUUUUGUAAGUCAGAUGUGAAAGCCCCGGGCUCAACCUGGGAACUGCGUUUGAAACUGCAAGGCUAGAGUGUAGGAGAGGGGGGUAGAAUUCCACGUGUAGCAGUGAAAUGCGUAGAGAUGUGGAGGAAUACCAAUGGCGAAGGCAGCCCCCUGGCCUAACACUGACGCUCAUGCACAAAAGCGUGGGGAGCAAAC
Molecule: ribosomal RNA, 421 nt
Filed under: uncultured bacterium
Lineage: Bacteria
Description: bacterial SSU rRNA
Rfam family: Bacterial small subunit ribosomal RNA
Source: RNAcentral